UACGGGGGGGGCAAGCGUUGUUCGGAAUUACUGGGCGUAAAGGGCUCGUAGGCGGCCAACUAAGUCGGACGUGAAAUCCCUCAGCUUAACUGGGGAACUGCGUGUGAUACUGGAUGGCUUGGAUUUGGGAGAGGGAUGCGGAAUUCCAGGUGUAGCGGUGAAAUGCGUAGAUAUCUGGAGGAACACCGGUGGCGAAGGCGGCAUCCUGGACCAAUAUUGACGCUGAGGAGCGAAAGCCAGGGGAGCAAACGGG
This 253-nucleotide ribosomal RNA is filed under the name uncultured bacterium. RNAcentral's name for it is "partial 16S ribosomal RNA". It matches the Rfam family "Bacterial small subunit ribosomal RNA", at positions 524 to 776 of the family's 1533-position model. The record is from RNAcentral.